GCCAUGCAUGUCUCAGUACAAGCCGAAUUAAGGUGAAACCGCGAAAGGCUCAUUAAAUCAGUUAUGGUUCCUUAGAUCGUACCCAUAUUUACUUGGAUAACUGUGGUAAUUCUAGAGCUAAUACAUGCAAACAGAGCUCCGACCGGAGACGGAAGGAGCGCUUUUAUUAGAUCAAAACCAAUCGGCGGCGGGCGCGAGCUCGUCGUCGUUCACUCUGGUGAAUCUGAAUAACUUUCUGCUGAUCGCACGGUCUAGCACCGGCGACGCAUCUUUCAAAUGUCUGCCUUAUCAACUGUCGAUGGUAGGUUCCGUGCCUACCAUGGUCGUAACGGGUAACGGGGAAUCAGGGUUCGAUUCCGGAGAGGGAGCCUGAGAAACGGCUACCACAUCCAAGGAAGGCAGCAGGCGCGCAAAUUACCCACUCCCGGCACGGGGAGGUAGUGACGAAAAAUAACGAUACGGGACUCAUCCGAGGCCCCGUAAUCGGAAUGAGUACACUCUAAACCCUUUAACGAGGAUCAAUUGGAGGGCAAGUCUGGUGCCAGCAGCCGCGGUAAUUCCAGCUCCAAUAGCGUAUAUUAAAGUUGUUGCGGUUAAAAAGCUCGUAGUCGAAUCUGUGUCUCGCGCCGCCGGUUCAUCGCUCGCGGUGUUUAACUGGCGUGUCCGCGAGACGUCCUGCCGGUGGGCUUAGCCCGCGAGGGNCGGCCCAACUUUAAAUCCCGCCGCGGUGCUCUUCAUUGAGUGUCGAGGCGGGCCGGCACGUUUACUUUGAACAAAUUAGAGUGCUUAAAGCAGGCUAAAACUUCGCCUGAAUACUGUGUGCAUGGAAWAAUGGAAUAGGACCUCGGUUCUAUUUUGUUGGUUUUCGGAACCCCGAGGUAAUGAUUAAUAGGAACGGAUGGGGGCAUUCGUAUUGCGACGUUAGAGGUGAAAUUCU
Molecule: ribosomal RNA, 937 nt
Filed under: Cardiotarsus sp. NLG
Lineage: Eukaryota; Metazoa; Arthropoda; Insecta; Coleoptera; Elateridae
Description: SSU rRNA
Rfam family: Eukaryotic small subunit ribosomal RNA
Source: RNAcentral